This is a long non-coding RNA of Monodelphis domestica (gray short-tailed opossum), 4010 nucleotides long. RefSeq lists it as uncharacterized. Lineage: Eukaryota; Metazoa; Chordata; Mammalia; Didelphimorphia; Didelphidae. The record is from RefSeq and is a predicted model, not a curated record.
ACCACAGGCCACUGCCAUGGGCGCCCCAGGCCGAUCCUGGAAGCGGCCCACGUGACUUGUAGAGGCCCCUCUGUAAAAUGAUUGGGUCCAGCGAGAUGGUAAUGGCAGGACCAAGAGGAGCUGUGGCAUGAGGCCCACCCGGCCAGGGCCGGCCACUUUGGGAUGGCUCCCAUUCUUGGGAGACCCUGAGCUCACCCCGCUCUGACCAGUGAUGCUGGCCUAAGCCUCAGGCAGAAAUUCUCUCCACCCACCACAGCUUGCUUAGCGUUUCUCUUAGGAACCCCCAGUAGCAAGCCCUGAAGUGCCCUCGGAGGACGAGGGAAGGAAGAACACCAGCAGGUCACGGAGGCCAAGCAGGAGCCCCAUUGGGAAUGGGCACUAAUGAGUGUGCCCUCUCCCUCUUCAGAUUACCUUGACUGCCUGUGUGGGGCCACAUCCCUUGGAGAAUAGUCAUCAAAGUUCUUGAUAAGACAAAAGUCAGAAUGGCUGGUGAUGGCCCAGGAUGAAAUGGAUGACCUUAGGCUUCUUCAGUGGCUGCCAAGCUUCAAGCACUCCACAGCGCCUGCUUCAGUUGCUCUCAUUGCCUUGGAAAAAACAGUUGCCACAGUCCCUUCUGUUGUGGGAAGUCUUCACAUGCCUGGGGUAGAAAAUCCCUCACCUCACCAACUGGCUUGAGACCCAUUGGUUCCACUCAACCUAGUUUUGCCCUUUGGCCCAUAUGUCAAGAUGGUCUAUUAGUACAGAUCACAGCUUCUUAGAGCCACAGGUGAGAGUUGAGUGCAGGUGGACACCAAAGCUGGAUGAGCAGCCCUGAAAAGGACUGGGCAAGCCCCCUACCAGAGGUGGUAAGUCCUCCUCCAACAGGCAUCCACCCCAGGCACUUAACAAAUGUUUAUUGACUGAUUGUCCCUUUGCACAGGCUGUCCUCUACACCCACACCUGGAAUGCUCUCUCCCUACCUCUGCCUCUUAAAUCAAUCAUCAAUCAACAAGCAUUUAUUAAAACUCCCAAGUGUCAGGAGGUGGCAGAUAUCUUUCAAAGACAAUCAGUCCCUGCCUUCAAGGAACUUACUUUCAGGGAAACAUUUAGUAUACCUAAAUAUUUACAAAUUAAGUUAAGGGUAUGCUGGUAAAAGUUUUAUGACUGGCUCUCCGAAGAACAACAGGACACACUUUUAAAUUUCGUCAACAUUAUUCAUGUAUUUUCCAUGACUUUUUUUUUUUUAACCCUUACCUUCCAUCUUGAAGUCAAUAUUGUCAAUACUCUGUAUUGGUUCCAAGGCAGAAGAGUGGUAAGGGUUAGGCAACGGGGGUCAAGUGACUUGCCCAGGGUCACACAGCUAGGAAUCCACCAUCAUUUUAAAGUCUAAACAACCAAUGAAUCAAUAAAUCAAACUCUGAUUUGUGAUCUGCUGACUUGCAAGCAGCAAAUGCUGGUCCUGAACAUUUAACAGUCAGCUCCCCCCUCCCCCCAAUUAAGUACAAGCUUCAAGGAAACAUCUGGUAUACCUAAAUAUUUACAAAUUAAGUCAAGGGUAUACUGGUAAAAGUUUCAUGACUGGCUCUCUGAAGAACAACAGGACACACUCUUAAAUUUCAUCAACAUUAUUAAUGUAUUCUUCAUCUCUCCCCCCCCCCCCCCCUUUUAAACCUUUACCUUCCAUCUUGGAAUCAAGUACAAGUUGGGAGGAGGCACCAGCAACUCUUAAAAGACCCUCAGCUUCCAUGGAGGCUCAACUGAGCACCGGCUUCUUCAAGAGAUCGUCCUCCAUUUUUAAUGAGGCCUCUCUUCCCAUUCCUGUGUAUUUAUCUUUGAAGACAGGAUUCUAGAUCUACAGCUAGAAAGGAACUGAAAGACCAAACGGUGCAACCUCAUUUUGCAGAUGAGGAAACUGAGGACCAGGAGGAGUGCCCAAAGUGACAGGUGUUCAAGUAUACAAGAUAGGAUUUGAACCCAGAUCCUCUGACUCCAGAUAGAGCCAGUGCUUUCUCCCCUGUGUUUUAUCUCUCUGGCAGAAGGUAAACUCCUGGAAAGGCAAGGCCUAUCUCUUUCGCAUUUGUUCCUCAACUCCUACCUAAGGCCUGGCAUGUAGCAGGCUUGCUGACUGAGCUUGACUCGGAACACCACCGGUCUUGACGUUAUUUGUUGAAUGGAGGCUCGGAACACCGCCGGCCCUUACAGUAAUUGUUAAAUGGCUUGGAAGGCGUAUUCUGGGACUACAGGCUGAAAGACCCACCCAGCGCCUUCAUUUUCCCUUCCCUAGGCCAAGCCACAGAAAAGCUGGCGGUAGCGACACCUAGUGGUCCUCCUUGGUGUGCGCGUCCAUGUUCUCUGUGGUUGAAAGGACAGGCUGUACUAACUAGGGUGGAAGGAUCAUAAGGUCAUGGAUUUAGAGCUGGUGGCGACACCUAGUGGCCCGCCUUGGUGUGUGCGCCCACAUUCUCUGCUUGGGAGGACAGGCUGUACUAACUAGGGUGGAAGGAUCACAAGGUCAUGGAUUUAGAGCUGGUGGCGACACCUAGUGGCCCGCCUUGGUGUGUGCGCCCACAUUCUCUGCUUGGGAGGACAGGCUGUACUAAAUAGGGUGGAAGGAUCACAAGGUCAUGGAUUUAGAGCUGGUGGCGACACCUAGUGGCCCGCCUUGGUGUGUGCGCCCACAUUCUCUGCUUGGGAGGACAGGCUGUACUAAAUAGGGUGGAAGGAUCACAAGGUCAUGGAUUUAGAGCUGGUGGCGACACCUAGUGGCCCGCCUUGGUGUGUGCGCCCACAUUCUCUGCUUGGGAGGACAGGCUGUACUAAAUAGGGUGGAAGGAUCACAAGGUCAUGGAUUUAGAGCUGGUGGCGACACCUAGUGGUCAUUCCUGAUAUAUGCCCGCAUUCUCUGGGUCUCAGCAUAGAUUUUGAACUGGAAGAGGCCUUGAAGGUAGGUCUUCUAGUCCAAUCUCAUUCUACAAAUGAGAAAACCAAUGCCCAGGGAGGUUGAGUGACUUUCCAGAGUUGCACAAGAAAAAGGAGACAAACUCGAGGCAUUAAACCCAGGUCCUCUGAAUCCCAUUGCUGAAGUAUUUAUGCUAAAUAGCCUCUAAUAAUUCCUGAAACAUUAAAAUGGACUAACCAUUAUCACUAUAUAUAUAAGAUUAUAUACAUAUAUAAAAAUAACCUCACACCUUAUACAUAAAAUAUUUUUAAAUUUUAAAUUUAAAUUCUAUGUAUUUAUACAUAUAUAAAUUUUAAAUUAAAAUUAAAUAAAAUUUAAACAAUUUUCCAUCUGUGGUUUCAUCAGUUUGGGGAAACUCCUGCUUUGGAAAUUCCAUCCAUUGAUUCAGAUCAAUAACUCAUCUAUGACUUGGACUCUUUGUGGGGAGGUGACUGAGAAGUGACUCAGAGCUACACAACUAUUAAGCAUGAGAGGUAGGACUUGAAAGUAGAUCUUCAGAACUUUGGGCUGCUAAGUGGUACAAUGUGUGUAUCAAUCCAGCACAAUCAGUGCUGGAUUUUGAGUGCACAUCUGGCCUCAAACACUAGCGGUGGGACCCUGGGCAAGUCACUUAACCUUGUUUGCCUUGGUUUACUCAUCUGUAAAAUGAGCUAGAGAAGAAAAUGGCAAACUUCUUCACUAUCUCUGUUAAGAAAUCCCCAAAUGUAAGCUGUUGGCAUAUGGUCCAGGUGAAGGAGGUUGGGGUUGAAGAGUUGAAUGAACCGGUUAUUUGGGAGAUCAUCACUGGCAGUGUUGAAGUCCCAGAGAAGAAAAUGAACUAGGUACUAAUGUUGAUGAGAAAGCUGAGAGAAUGACCUGGAGGUCUUGGAAUGAGAGUCAAGCAGUAAAGCUUACUCUGCUGUUCUUCAGGUAUUAGGGAUUCUGAGAAAAAGGAGAAGCAAAAAAUGAUCCCUGCCCUCAAGGAAGUCACAGAGGGGCUGAGUUGAUGUCUAAGGCAGUCUGACCAGUGGGGGAGACCAUAUAUAUAUAUAUAUAUAUAUAUAUAUAUAUAUAUAUAAAUCAGAAUAUAUAU